This 1152-nucleotide long non-coding RNA is filed under the name Anneissia japonica. Its description in RNAcentral is "uncharacterized LOC117100598". The record is from RNAcentral. Lineage: Eukaryota; Metazoa; Echinodermata; Crinoidea; Comatulida; Comatulidae.
UUUUUCAGUAGUGUUUUGCUGCAGUGACAUCUCGGUGCUGGCGACUCGCUGCUGGCGAUGACUCGCUGCUGGCGAAUCGAUCUGCGCAUGUGUAUAAAAUGGUAUUUACUUCCGAAAACAUGCCUGCUGCACGCGCUCACUUUUCUCUGACUGAAACUCAGUUCCUGGCAAGUUGCGGAGCUCAUGUAAUUAAGGCAGCCUCCACAUCCAAUUCUUUAUUUGUACUCCAUGAAAUAGAGACAGAAUAUAUGAAGAACUUUGACUAGUAUCGAAUAGCCUUGCUUGAAGCUGUUGCAGCAUCCAAAAGAAAAUCUACAGCUACCUUCCUGUUUGGUAACAAAUCCAUGCUGCGUUCAUAACAAAAUGGAAGACUUGCAAGUCAUAACGGCCGUAUUCGACUGGUCGUUCUUCAUUAAACCACGCCCACUUGAGCAGUGGUAAUAUCCUACUUAACGAAGAAGACCUUUCGAAUAGAAAACUGGUAAAUACUCAACAAAACAAAAAGGCUACAUAGUUACCCCAAUGAUACAUCAUGCAUAAUCAAGGUUUAAAAAAAAAAAUGUUUUCAUCCAGUUUUUAAAUUCAGUUAGCCUAUAAUUAUUUUUUGACUUCAUGUGCGUAAAUGUUAAAAUUUGUAAUUUCUAAAAUUUAAUCUAAAUUAUAUUAAUGCAGAGUUGUUGCUAAACCAAUUGGCCAUGUUUGUUUUGGUCACGCGAAUAAUGCUAAUUAACGCACACUGGUUUACAUUAAUUUUAUAUCUAUUUUACAAACCAGUAGAAUGGAAAUAAUACUCAACGAAAAAUUGUAGUCAACAAAAUGAACUAGUCAAAUAAGCCCAUUAACAAUUUAUGCAGGUGUUGUGUAUGCUAUCAAAAACCAGGUUCAAUAGCAAUGGAAUUGCUGCAGAGGAGGAUGAGGGGUGACAACAUAACACUAUACUCUCUAGCAGUCAGGGCCCAGCCAGAGGGGUGUUGAGGGGUUUUAACACCCUCUAAAAUUAAUUGAAAUAAACAAAAAAUCCCGAUAAUGUAGUAGUAAAGGUAAAAUAUAGGCCUUUAUGUAUGAUUUAUGUAUUGAUUUAUUAUGAUUUACAGAGGAUCCCGGAGGUACUGUCCAACCAGGGCCCCCCCUCCCCCUUAGAGUAAACCAGAA